Molecule: non-coding RNA, 31 nt
Filed under: Homo sapiens (human)
Lineage: Eukaryota; Metazoa; Chordata; Mammalia; Primates; Hominidae
Source: RNAcentral
CCCUCAACUGUAAGGCUAGGAUAAUGCCCAC